This 72-nucleotide transfer RNA is filed under the name Bacteroidales bacterium. RNAcentral describes it as "tRNA-Arg". It matches the Rfam family "tRNA". From Rfam's summary of the family: Transfer RNA (tRNA) molecules are approximately 80 nucleotides in length. Their secondary structure includes four short double-helical elements and three loops (D, anti-codon, and T loops). The record is from RNAcentral. Lineage: Bacteria; Pseudomonadati; Bacteroidota; Bacteroidia; Bacteroidales.
GGUCCCUUAGUUCAAUGGAUAGAAUGCAAGAUUCCGGUUCUUGUGAUGGGGGUUCGAAUCCCUCAGGGAUCA